AAAGCAGGCGCAGGGCGAGUCUGGUGCAGAGCAACUGAAGUAAAUGCUGAGCAGCCCAUGGCGGUUAAUGAAAAAACUGUGAGCAUUGAUAAGCCAACUAAGGGUAUAUAUGUAUAGUAUGCAGCAAAAUCAGUUAAUUGGGCAACAAUACAAUUUUGGAGACAUGCAGCAGCAGCAGCGGAGAUUACUGGGGCAACACAAUAACGAUCAAAAUCUGCAGCAGCAGCA
This 228-nucleotide unclassified non-coding RNA is filed under the name Hevea brasiliensis (rubber tree). The record is from RNAcentral. Lineage: Eukaryota; Viridiplantae; Streptophyta; Magnoliopsida; Malpighiales; Euphorbiaceae.